Long non-coding RNA from Syngnathus acus (greater pipefish), 693 nucleotides. RefSeq lists it as uncharacterized. The record is from RefSeq and is a predicted model, not a curated record. The transcript is spliced from 3 exons. Lineage: Eukaryota; Metazoa; Chordata; Actinopteri; Syngnathiformes; Syngnathidae.
GAUUGAUAAAUAGUGUCAGUUACCUCGCGCUCCAGAAUUGACACAUUGUCGAUUGUCACUGAGCUGAAAGGUGAAUGCAUGAUUCCUGUAGAGAUGGCACAGCAGAUGUCCAGUGAGGAUACAAAUCGAAAAGCACAAGAAAGAAUGUGUCAUGUAUUUCUCCUAAUCAUCGGCCUUGGAUGUGUCCUUCAAGCCACGCUCAAUGUUUCUCUACGCCUCGCCUUGCCCUCACAAUUUUGUUUGGAGUGCAAUCUAACGUGCCCAACCAGUCCACGGCCCGUGACGCCGAUUUACGCGGAUUGUGGCAGAAACACAAGAUUUCGGUGCAGCAGAUUACAAGAAAGUCUCAAUGCUUUAACAAGAGAAAGAGACGAGCUUCGAAACAGCCUCUCUCAAUUGAGAAACUUGCUCGUAUGUAAAUAGUGCAAUACCUCACUUUUCCGGUGAGGUGGUUUUAGUCUUUUUUCCAUCUCCUUCCAAUCGCUGUCUUUCUGAUAACACCAUCCUCAGGCUACUAAACAUGCUUUUUUGGGUUGGAAAAUGUUAUUUACGUGCUUGUUUUAUUUAUUUUUUUGUCAUUGUUGGUUUUUGUGGUUGGUAUUAAGUUUUUGGACCUUAACACUCAUGUACUCAAAAUGAAUUCUCUUCAAUUUCUCAUUUUUGUUGUCUGUCUAUUAAAAUUGUGUUCUUGCA